GAGGAAAAGAAACCAACAGGGAUUGCCUCAGUAACGGCGAGUGAAGCGGCAAGAGCUCAACUUUGGAAUCGCUCCGGCGAGUUGUAGUCUGGAGGUGGCCACCACGAGGUGUUCUAGCAGCAGGCAAGUCCUUUGGAACAAGGCGCCAGCGAGGGUGACAGCCCCGUACCUGCUUUUGCUAGUGCUUCCUGUGGCCCACCGACGAGUCGAGUUGUUUGGGAAUGCAGCUCUAAGUGGGUGGUAAAUUCCAUCUAAGGCUAAAUAUUGGCGAGAGACCGAUAGCGAACAAGUACAGUGAUGGAAAGAUGAAAAGCACUUUGAAAAGAGAGUGAAACAGUACGUGAAAUUGUUGAAAGGGAAGGGCUUGCACCCAGACACGGUUUCGGCCGGGCCAGCAUCAAGUAGAACGGGGUUAAAAGACCUGGGGAAUGUAGCUACCUCUUGGUAGUGUUAUAGCCCUUGGGUGAUGACCCCUGUUUUGCUUGAGGACAGCGGUCUCUAGGAUGCUGGCGCAAUGGUUGCAAGCCACCCGUCUUGAA
Molecule: ribosomal RNA, 539 nt
Filed under: Candidozyma auris
Lineage: Eukaryota; Fungi; Ascomycota; Pichiomycetes; Serinales; Metschnikowiaceae
Description: [Candida] auris partial 26S ribosomal RNA
Rfam family: Eukaryotic large subunit ribosomal RNA
Source: RNAcentral